UCAAAAUGGUGAUCAUUUGAUAGUCAGUUAAAUGAAUGCCACUUGGAUUAUUGUUCUCAUCUGUGCUAUGCGACAAAAUGAAAUUAGCUCAUUUCAACUAGUGAGCACUCAAAUAUUGAUAAUGAUGGAUGGCAGUUACAUACGUCACUGGUGUUGGAAUCUAUUAAAAGGAACAUGUCUCAUCUCUUUGCGGUUGAACCUUAUUGAUUAAAAGUUGCAAAUCAUAACAGUUAGGGAUUAGAUCAGCAUCAAUGAGUUUGUAAUAUGAAUUGCAUUGUUAUCAUGAUGGAUUAAUCUCUAGAGAUGGUG
RNAcentral lists this unclassified non-coding RNA (309 nucleotides) under Hevea brasiliensis (rubber tree). The record is from RNAcentral. Lineage: Eukaryota; Viridiplantae; Streptophyta; Magnoliopsida; Malpighiales; Euphorbiaceae.